CUUCGUUCUGGCUCUCAAAGGGUGUUUGCCCCUGGUGCUAGGGGGUAAUAUCCGAGGCACUAAGGCUGCCCUGGCACCUUACAUAAAGGGGGUUAUCAUUGCCUGACCCUUCCCCAUUGCUCUUGGAUAAUGGUGGAAAUGAAGGGGUGGGUCUUUCGUGCAUCACCUGAGUUCUGGGGUAAAUGUAGAGAGUGUCAAUCACAAGCCGAGCUCAGAGCUGGGAAGGAGCUACAGAUGGCGGCUGUGCCUGAGAGAGCGCACUCAGCCCGCUGCCGUCUCCUGCGCUUCAAUCAACUUUCUUCAACUUUGUUUCGCCCCCUGGGGGACCCCCACCCUUCCUCCUGUCGCCGCGAGUAUCGAGGGGCUCCGGAGCCCUGGAUUUUGAGCCGUUUUUUGGUGUCCGGUCUCCGGCGGGCAGAAGGAGCCGAGGAGUCUGCUUGUUGUUUUCCCAGCUCAUGGCGCACCUCCAUUUUCCCCGGGACUCUAUCAUUUUCAUGUAUUUCCCCCCCGUUUGUUUAAAUACAAGGAUUCCCAUCCGGACCCGGUACAUGGGCUGACCAGCAAAUACCUGGGCAUAGUACUUGAAAGGCCAGUCUGCCAUCUGCCUCCGGUACUACGGGCAUCCAAGAUGAUGAGGAAUAAGGAGAAACCCUUGGAGGACGAGGACGGCUCAGCCCACAGCAAUGCAUCGAGCUAGGCAGGUUGGGUUGAGUGGAGGGGAGUCGUUGCCUGGUUGGUAGACCGAGGCGAAGGCAAGACAAAAUAACCAAUAAAAGAGAGAACAGAGCCUUGUGUGCAGAAGAAACCCGCGCUAACGGCUGUUACCCCGACGUGUAGAGUAUUGGGGUACCAGGUGCUUGUGGCCCCUGAAAGCCUCCUGCCAGAUCCUCCCUGUAAUGGCGCCCACAGGCUCGAUGAAAAUGUCAACUUGUACAUUCUUUCCUCCUUAAAAGGUUUCUUUAUGCUCAAAAGAUGCUAUUAUUUGCUUCUGUGAAUUAUCAAGCUGAUUUUUUUUCUUAACAACUAUUACAGUCCUAUAAAAAGUGAAUGAGCUCAAUCCUUGGACAAUUGAAAAGGAUUCAACAGAUGAAGUCAAAGAUUGCUACUCUAGUGGGAAGCGUAAUGGAUUGGACUAAAAUAUUAUUCGUUCAAGAAUGAUCAUUUGAAAAAUGGACUCUUUACGAAACAAUUGGGUUUACUAUUGAUUUGUGAACUGCUCUUUUACAAUGUUUUACUACAUUUUGUGCUUAACUUUUUUUGACGAUUAUCAGAAUAUUUUAAUAAAGGCAAAUAUCGACCUGC
Spea bombifrons (plains spadefoot toad) is the source of this 1302-nucleotide long non-coding RNA. RefSeq lists it as uncharacterized. The record is from RefSeq and is a predicted model, not a curated record. NCBI's taxonomy places the organism in Eukaryota, Metazoa, Chordata, Amphibia, Anura, Pelobatidae. The transcript is spliced from 7 exons.